RNAcentral lists this ribosomal RNA (483 nucleotides) under uncultured bacterium. Its description in RNAcentral is "partial 16S ribosomal RNA". It matches the Rfam family "Bacterial small subunit ribosomal RNA", at positions 30 to 507 of the family's 1533-position model. The record is from RNAcentral.
UUGAACGCUGGCGGCAGGCCUCACACCUGCAAGUCGAGCGGAUGAAGGGAGCUUGCUCCUGGAUUCAGCGGCGGACGGGUGAGUAAUGCCUAGGAAUCUGCCUGGUAGUGGGGGAUAACGUCCGGAAACGGGCGCUAAUACCGCAUACGUCCUGAGGGAGAAAGUGGGGGAUCUUCGGACCUCACGCUAUCAGAUGAGCCUAGGUCGGAUUAGCUAGUUGGUGGGGUAAAGGCCUACCAAGGCGACGAUCCGUAACUGGUCUGAGAGGAUGAUCAGUCACACUGGAACUGAGACACGGUCCAGACUCCUACGGGAGGCAGCAGUGGGGAAUAUUGGACAAUGGGCGAAGGCCUGAUCCAGCCAUGCCGCGUGUGUGAAGAAGGUCUUCGGAUUGUAAAGCACUUUAAGUUGGGAGGAAGGGCAGUAAGUUAAUACCUUGCUGUUUUGACGUUACCAACAGAAUAAGCACCGGCUAACUUCGUG